GCUGGGUGCGGUGGUGUGCGCCUGUAAUCCCAGCGGCUUGGGAGGCUGAGGCAGGAGGAUCGUGAGUUCAAAGCCAGCCUCAGCAAAUAAGCAAGGCACCGAACAACUCAGUGAGAUCCUGUCUCUA
This 127-nucleotide small RNA is filed under the name Marmota monax (woodchuck). The record is from RNAcentral. Lineage: Eukaryota; Metazoa; Chordata; Mammalia; Rodentia; Sciuridae.